Molecule: ribosomal RNA, 741 nt
Filed under: uncultured bacterium
Lineage: Bacteria
Description: bacterial SSU rRNA
Rfam family: Bacterial small subunit ribosomal RNA
Source: RNAcentral
UGCUACACAUGCAGUCGAGCGAUGAAACCCUUCGGGGUGGAUUAGCGGCGGACGGGUGAGUAACACGUGGGUAACCUGCCUCAAAGAGGGGGAUAGCCUCCCGAAAGGGAGAUUAAUACCGCAUAAUAUUAGUUUUUCGCAUGAAGAACUAAUUAAAGGAGCAAUCCGCUUUGAGAUGGACCCGCGGCGCAUUAGCUAGUUGGUGAGGUAACGGCUCACCAAGGCGACGAUGCGUAGCCGACCUGAGAGGGUGAUCGGCCACAUUGGAACUGAGACACGGUCCAGACUCCUACGGGAGGCAGCAGUGGGGAAUAUUGCACAAUGGGCGAAAGCCUGAUGCAGCAACGCCGCGUGAGUGAUGAAGGCCUUCGGGUUGUAAAGCUCUGUCUUUGGGGACGAUAAUGACGGUACCCAAGGAGGAAGCCACGGCUAACUACGUGCCAGCAGCCGCGGUAAUACGUAGGUGGCGAGCGUUGUCCGGAUUUACUGGGCGUAAAGGAUGCGUAGGCGGAUAUUUAAGUGAGAUGUGAAAUACCCGGGCUUAACUUGGGUGCUGCAUUUCAAACUGGAUAUCUAGAGUGCGGGAGAGGAGAAUGGAAUUCCUAGUGUAGCGGUGAAAUGCGUAGAGAUUAGGAAGAACACCAGUGGCGAAGGCGAUUCUCUGGACCGUAACUGACGCUGAGGCAUGAAAGCGUGGGUAGCAAACAGGAUUAGAUACCCUGGUAGUCCACGCCGUAAACG